CCAGAGCUGUGUCAGGACGUCCCAUACAGUUCUAAGUCUGAUGUCUGGGCACUGGGAUGCUUGUUGUAUGAGAUCUGUUCUGUCAGACCGCCGUUCUGCUCUAUAAGAUCAUCAGAGGAGAGUACAGCCCUGUUCCCCAGACCUACUCAGACAGCAUCACCUCUCUGGUCCCUCUCUGGUCUUCCUGCCAUCCAGGACCUCUAUAUCAGGUGGUGUCAGAAGAGUAGAGAAGAUAUAGUUAACUCACCAGCUAAACAACUAACCAACUAACCAACCAACCAAGUGCAUCGAUUUAACUCUUGUUCUUUCUUUACUUUUCAAGCACCGUCCACAGUUCCACUGCUUCCACGAGGGAACCAACCAAAACCCCUUCAGAUUUCUGCUUACUUCACUUCAAGGGACCGACAGACCGAGAAAAACAGAGCGAAAGAGAGUAAUAGACAGAGAUCACAGUAUGAAAAGAAUGAAGUCAGCUGUUGUUGUCAUUGUGAUUCUCAACAUGCUGCAUCGCUGUCUGAGCAACAACUUACGCACAGAGAUCCUGAAAGACUUGAGCAACCUCACUCCGGAGAACUUCACUUACCCAAAGCGAUACCGAGUACCAACAUUACAAAUGCAGGAGAAAGCAUGUGAGUGCCAGGGGAUGUUUGCCACUGAGCUGAAGCAUGUGGUCAACAAGGUGAAGGCCCGGACCGAGGAACACAAACCACUUCUGAACAGACUACAAAAGAACAUCCAGGCUCUGCCUCAGAUCUCUACCCCUGAGGAGGCCAGUAUCUGCCCCAUGAAGAAUAAGCUGCUGCUAACCCGUCCACCGAAGACUAUUGUUCUAAUAGCUUACAGACGUUUCCUCCAGAACCUGAACGAAAAGGAAUGUAAGUGAGAUACUACCGUAGAGAUAAUUCGAUUAUCUCUAUAUUUUAUAGAAUGAUCUUUUCGGGUAAUAUGGCCCAUAAAUAUGCUGCAUCUCUCUUCGGGUAAUAUGGCCCAUAAAUAUGCUGCAUCUCUCUUCGGGUAAUAUGGCCCAUAAAUAUGCUGCAUCUCUCUUUGUGUAAUAUGGCCCAUAAAUAGGCUGCAUCUCUCUUCGUGUAAUAUGGCCCAUAAAUAUGCUGCAUCUCUCUUUGUGUAAUAUGGCCCAUAAAUAGGCUGCAUCUCUCUUUGUGUAAUAUGGCCCAUAAAUAGGCUGCAUCUCUCUUCGUGUAAUAUGGCCCAUAAAUAUGCUGCAUCUCUCUUUGUGUAAUAUGGCCCAUAAAUAGGCUGCAUCUCUCUUUGUGUAAUAUGGCCCAUAAAUAGGCUGCAUCUCUCUUCGUGUAAUAUGGCCCAUAAAUAUGCUGCAUCUCUCUUUGUGACAGAAGUAAUGAUUUAUUUAUAGACCAUUCUCAGGUUUAGGUUGUUCAUGUAUUUUUUGAUGUACUAUACUUAUUGAUUGGAUCACUCUGUUUUUAUUGAAAUAUAUUCAAAUUUGAGUUAUGUAUUUAAACAAACAUUUAUUUGUUAAAUUAUUACUUUUGAAUUAUGUCUUAAAGAUAACAGUCAGUGUUCUUCCCAUGGCUGUUUGUAGUCAGACUAAAAACGUUUGCUUGAUAUACGGUACUAUGUACUUCCAUCAUGAAAAGCAUAAUUGUUCUCAAAUAAGAUCAUUUUAUAUUGAAAUACAAAAUGUUUCACAUGAAUGUACAAAUUUUAUACGUAUUGAUUAUGUAUUUAUUCUAUACUGGUUGAAUGUAAAUGAAUCCUACAUUUUAUACUGUAAAGAACUUACAUCAGUGAUGUGCGAU
Molecule: long non-coding RNA, 1778 nt
Organism: Salmo trutta (river trout)
Lineage: Eukaryota; Metazoa; Chordata; Actinopteri; Salmoniformes; Salmonidae
Source: Ensembl